Molecule: long non-coding RNA, 2997 nt
Filed under: Phasianus colchicus (ring-necked pheasant)
Lineage: Eukaryota; Metazoa; Chordata; Aves; Galliformes; Phasianidae
Description: lncRNA (ENSPCLG00000003917.1)
Source: RNAcentral
AUGCUGAAUUGCAGAGACUUUUGCCUCUGGCUUAAGAAGUUCCCCAAACCCCUGGUAGCUUCGCUCCUUGUGAGCAUGUUCCCAAAACAUUCUCAGGGCUUUUCCCAGCUCCCUGGCCAGUUAGGAGGACAACAGAUGAUCAAACCACACAGGCUGCUCGGUGCACCAGGGCUUUGCUGCUGCUUUCACUGUAUCAGCUCGGAAAAUAUUUAUUUGGGGUUUUUCUGCUUCCCAGUUCUGGAGUGGUUCGGGAAAAACAAAACUGCUUUCCAGAGAGAUCAUCUGUGCUCCUGCUUUCAGUCAAAAUCAAAAGGGUUUGGGCUGAUUUACAGCUUUUUAAGGCAAAACCCAAAUAAAUGCCAUCAAAGGACAUGUCAAGGGUGGAGAAAGAUCAGAAGGUCACCUCAAGAUCAAGGUGGAGAAAGAUCAGAGGCCUGCUAUAAGCCAAGAAAAUAUGUCAAAAGGAAAUAUUUUCAUUUCUGGUUGUGUUUCUUUCUGUCCAGAGUGCCCCAGUGUUUCAGCCAUGACUGAUUGGGUGAACUGGGAAUGAAUUGGGGUGAUUUGGGGCGAGCACAUCCUCCUUAUGGAGAGGGAUAUGGAUUAGAUGGAGCAGCCCCAGCUCUCUGAUCCCCAGCUCCUCUCCACCCUGGCCAUCAUUCAGCUCUAUACCCCGAACUGCCUUCGUGCAUCCCUCUCCCCAUCUGAAAGCACUCAUCAUUUGGGGUCAGAAUGCCACCGACACUGGCACAGCCAGGGAUCAAUUGGGGGUCAGGAGUCGUCCCUGCACUGCUGAAGGAUUUUCCAGCAGCCGUUCACCCCCUAUUUAUUGACCCAGCAAUGUUUGCAGCGCUGAAUGUAGUGAAGUCGCAGUGUUCUGCAGGUCCCUGGGGUGGGGAUUUUACGGGAAUGCUGAUUCCCCAUUGCGCAGCCUCUGUGUUAAAAUGGUUUUGAACCCACAUAGAGCCAGAAAUCGAGUGAGGUCCUGCCGGGCUAAAUGGAUUUCACCGCUGAAACAGAAAGGAAUGGGCUCCCAGGAACAAGUGAUAUUAUUUACAUGGCAUCGAUCGGUGCUGAGCUUUUGCUGGCUCAGCACUUUUAACCCCUGGUUUUCAUCAGCUGAGUGCUUAACCCUCAGCUAAUUGGAUUUGCAGCUGUUAUUGUGAUCUAUGCUGCCUCCAAUUACUCUCCAUGGGGCACCCAUAGGAUGGGGAGCCCAAAUGGGGCAGAAAGCCCUCAUAAGGGCAGAAAGAGCAAAGUAUCACAGCACAUGAGGGCAAGAGUGUUGGGGUGAACUGGGGCACAGAUGGAUGAAGCCUUUUCCCAGGGAGCUUUGAGGGACUCAGCAUCUUGACUUCUUUGUGCAGGAUCAUGGUGGCAAUGCCCUUGUCCUCCUUCUCAUUACAUCCAUUGGAGCCCUUGUGGCUGAGCUGCUUUCUCCCACCAGGAGGUCAUCCAUCUGAUGGAACAGUUCUUCCUUUGGGCUCCCAGCAAAGACUGACAACAAAAAAAGCCAUAAAGCAGCUGAUGGGCAAAGAAUGAGGAGCCGUGAUUUUUCCUGCAUGGCCACAGGGCUCUGUUGUCUUUGGGCUGACACCAAAGGACUCAUUGGCUGUCAUAAAAUCACAAACAUUGAAGAAGACCACUAAGAUAAUUCAUCCAACCUAGAUCCUGGUAGGCUUUGAAGUGCAGAGACGAUCAGAAGCAAAAUCUUCCAUAGGUGUGUGUGGGGUAAACUGGUGAACAAAACCAUGAGCGAUCUCUUGUGUCUUGUCUUCCAUCACAGCCAAGAGAAAUGCAUUAUUGGUCUUGACACGGAGGGGCAGCAGACGGAUAAUUGGGUGACAUUUGCCGCUCUGCAUCACGCGGGGUCAGAUGAGAUGGUCUUUUGUGACCUUUAAAUCCAUGAACUAACAAAAUUUGGCCUUCUUGAGGUGAUUCUGUUGGAAAGGAUGGGAAAGCUGAGACUCCAGAGACUGCUGGGGCUGGAAAUGCAGUGCUGGGUGCUGGGCACAGAUCUGCAGCAUCACAGGGCUCCCUGCAGAGCCAAACUUCCUUUUCCAGUUAUUAAUGGUGUUUCCUAUGGCCCAGAUUCUCAGUGUUUCCCAGCACAAACCAUCUAGCAAUUUGCUUAUGCUAUUAUCCAGUGUCUGCAGCCAAUUGUUUGGAAGACAGCUGGAGAGCCUGGAAUUAAUGAGAAGUGACAGCAAAAUCCUGGAAAGGGUCAGAAAAUCCCUGGAAAAUACAUGGGAAUUCCAUAGCAAGGUCCUUAACCAGGAGCUCUGCCUGCAGGCAUUUCUGGUUUUCUCUUGGCUAAAACCCAGUGGUGACUGCCUCAGAGCUUCCAGGCAUUCUGAGCGUGCUGAACACUUCCCAGCAGAGCCAUCACAUCUGACUGAAUCCUACAACUCUCUCCUUCUGCCUUUCCCAGGGACAGCUUUUGGCAGCCCCAGGGCUGGCGGUAGGGGAAAAUCAUCCCAGUGCAGAGCAGGAGCCCUAAAAUAUUGAGACCUUAUGGGUUUUCCCAUUCCUUGCUGAGCCAGGCAAAAAGAGACCCCAGAAAUAACCAUGCAAUUACCAAAGUCGUUAUCCCAGGUGCUGUGCAAACCUACAUAAUGUCAACAGGUGUGGAAGGAGAGCAGACAGCUGGAGGAGGAGGAGAGUGAUGGGACCCCCAGGUGCUGCAGGGUCUGAGCUCCAUGCAGAGAAGCGGGGAAAAUUCCUGUUUUCCUCCUCUCUCCCUCCUCUCUUAAUGGCUUAGGGGCUGGGUGCGUUAAGUGGUUUAAUUAUUUUCAUAGCACAUAAUUUAAAGGGGAUAUUUGGCUCCCGGGAAGGUGGGGGGCUGCAGGGGUGGGGGUCUGGCUCUGCCUCCCCAGAGCUGCAUGCAGCCUCUCUGCUCUGCAUUAAAAUGCAAAUGUGUGCCUGCCUGCUGGGAGCAGAUAGCGGAACACCAAAAAGCAAGAGAAUAAACAGAGGGCAGAGCGGGAGGGGAGCUGGGAG